Molecule: long non-coding RNA, 746 nt
Organism: Rosa chinensis
Lineage: Eukaryota; Viridiplantae; Streptophyta; Magnoliopsida; Rosales; Rosaceae
Exons: 3
Source: RefSeq, a predicted model, not a curated record
GUGAAGUCUUGCUUUAAAGAUUCAAGAUCAAUGUCUCAAGCUCUUCAUCAUCCACUCCCUUCAUGGGUUAAAUUAUGCGCUUGCUUUGAGCGCAUCAUCCGGCCACCGAUCUCUGACGGACGACCACCCUCUGCUUCAUCUCGAUGUCGCCUUCGUCCCUGUGGUUCCAGAUCGUACAUGCAGCGACUGGGAACGGAGAAACGACGGCUGGAAGCUCCAAGACUUCUCCGGUGAGCUCUGCAAUUUCCGGCGAUUACGGCCACCGUUUGGGCCACCUGUGUUCAUCAACGUCGGUGACUAUUCCGGCCCUCCUGAGCGUGCUCUCUACACUAAAGACGAUCAGGUCUUCAAGCUCUACGCGUCUGGGUAAGUGGUUUCUCCAAUCUGGCCAAAGUUUCAAGCUUUGGCAGUCUGGGUUCAGUCGAUCACCGCCGGAGUUGCUGUGCGUGACGACCGGUUUGAAACUCCUUGUGAGACUACUGUGUUGAGUUAGACUUGAAUCUUGGAACUGAACCUCAGUUGUGUUCAAUCUCAGAAAUUAGGAGGUGGAACACAGACCGUAGCUGGUCGAAUCAAAGCCCGAAGUUCAUCUACGAGUUGUACUAGCAAAGGUGAACUCGGGUUCUGGACUAGAUGCUUCUUGUUUUGCUUACGAGUGCAGAAAGUAGUUGUUUGAUUGAUUGGGUAUUGUGUUGCAUAUUUGAAAUUGUGGCUGUUGUCAAUGUGAAAUAUUUAGAAUUGGUUAA